CCCCUCGUAGCUCAGCGGAAGAGCGACCGGCUUCUAACCGGAUGGCCGCAGGUUCGAUCCCUGCCGAGGGGA
RNAcentral lists this transfer RNA (72 nucleotides) under Microbacterium proteolyticum. RNAcentral's name for it is "tRNA-Arg". It matches the Rfam family "tRNA". From Rfam's summary of the family: Transfer RNA (tRNA) molecules are approximately 80 nucleotides in length. RNAcentral also lists the same sequence under 1 other name. Lineage: Bacteria; Bacillati; Actinomycetota; Actinomycetes; Micrococcales; Microbacteriaceae. The record is from RNAcentral.